UGACGUAGUUUGACUCUGGCUCAGGACGACGCUGGCGGCGUGCUUAAUACAUGCAAGUCGAACGGAGUUAAGGGUUUCGGCCUUUAACUUAGUGGCGAACGGGUGAGUAACGCGUGAAUAACCUGACUCAAAGAGGGGGAUAACAACGGGAAACUGUUGCUAAUACCGCAUGAGACCACAACACCGCAUGAUGAAGGGGUCAAAGAUUUAUCGCUUUGAGAGGGGUUCGCGUCCCAUUAGGUAGUUGGAGGGGUAACGGCCCACCAAGCCAACGAUGGGUAGCCGAGCUGAGAGGCUGAUCGGCCACACUGGAACUGAGACACGGUCCAGACUCCUACGGGAGGCAGCAGUAGGGAAUAUUGGGCAAUGGGCGCAAGCCUGACCCAGCAACGCCGCGUGAGGGAAGAAGGUUUUCGGAUUGUAAACCUCUGUCCUAUGUGACGAAGGAAGUGACGGUAGCAUAGGAGGAAGCCCCGGCUAACUACGUG
This 488-nucleotide ribosomal RNA is filed under the name uncultured bacterium. RNAcentral's name for it is "bacterial SSU rRNA". It matches the Rfam family "Bacterial small subunit ribosomal RNA", at positions 1 to 507 of the family's 1533-position model. The record is from RNAcentral.